AAUCAACGCUGGCGGCGUGCCUAACACAUGCAAGUCGAACGAGAAAGUGGAGCAAUCCACAAGUAAAGUGGCGCACGGGUGAGUAACACGUGACUAACCUACCCUUGAGUGGGGGAUAACCUAGGGAAACCUGGGCUAAUACCGCAUAAUACCUAUGGGUCAAAGGAGCAAUUCGCUUUUGGAGGGGGUCGCGGCAGAUUAGUUAGUUGGCAGGGUAAUGGCCUACCAAGACGAUGACUGUAUCCGGCCUGAGAGGGCGCACGGACACACUGGAACUGAAACACGGUCCAGACUCCUACGGGAGGCAGCAGUGGGGAAUUUUGCGCAAUGGGGGAAACCCUGACGCAGCAACGCCGCGUGGAGGAUGAAGACCCUUGGGUCGUAAACUCCUUUUCGAUCGGGACGAUAAUGACGGUACCGGAAGAAGAGCCCCGGCUAACUUCGUGCCAGCAGCCGCCGUAAC
This 463-nucleotide ribosomal RNA is filed under the name uncultured bacterium. RNAcentral describes it as "bacterial SSU rRNA". It matches the Rfam family "Bacterial small subunit ribosomal RNA", at positions 32 to 524 of the family's 1533-position model. The record is from RNAcentral.